GUUGGGGAGGCCGAGUGGUUAAGGCGUUGGAUUAGAAAUCCAAUGGGAUCUUCCCGCGCAGGCCCGAAUCCUGCCCGCAACG
Non-coding RNA from Nematostella vectensis (starlet sea anemone), 82 nucleotides. The record is from Rfam. NCBI's taxonomy places the organism in Eukaryota, Metazoa, Cnidaria, Anthozoa, Actiniaria, Edwardsiidae.